GACGAACGCUGGCGGCGUGCUUAACACAUGCAAGUCGAACGGAAAGGCCCUGCUUUUGUGGGGUGCUCGAGUGGCGAACGGGUGAGUAACACGUGAGUAACCUGCCCUUGACUUUGGGAUAACUUCAGGAAACUGGGGCUAAUACCGGAUAGGAGCUCCUGCUGCAUGGUGGGGGUUGGAAAGUUUCGGCGGUUGGGGAUGGACUCGCGGCUUAUCAGCUUGUUGGUGGGGUAGUGGCUUACCAAGGCUUUGACGGGUAGCCGGCCUGGGAGGGUGACCGGCCCAUUGGGACACGGAUACGGGCCAGAGUCCUGCGGGGGGGAGCGGUGGGGGAUAUUUCACAAAGGGCGGGAGCCCGGUGGAGGAACGCCGCGUGGGGGAUGACGGCCUUCGGGUUGUAAACCGCUUUCGCCUGUGACGAAGCGUGAGUGACGGUAAUGGGUAAAGAAGCACCGGCUAACUACGUG
RNAcentral lists this ribosomal RNA (467 nucleotides) under uncultured bacterium. RNAcentral describes it as "partial 16S ribosomal RNA". It matches the Rfam family "Bacterial small subunit ribosomal RNA", at positions 28 to 507 of the family's 1533-position model. The record is from RNAcentral.